RNAcentral lists this signal recognition particle RNA (148 nucleotides) under Callithrix jacchus (white-tufted-ear marmoset). Its description in RNAcentral is "Metazoan signal recognition particle RNA (ENSCJAG00000070383.1)". It matches the Rfam family "Metazoan signal recognition particle RNA". From Rfam's summary of the family: The signal recognition particle (SRP) is a universally conserved ribonucleoprotein. It is involved in the co-translational targeting of proteins to membranes. Lineage: Eukaryota; Metazoa; Chordata; Mammalia; Primates; Cebidae. The record is from Rfam by way of RNAcentral.
GCUGGGUGUGGUGGUGCAUGCCUGUAAUCCCAGCUACUUGGGAGGCUGAGGCAGGAGAAUCGUUUGAACCCAGGAGGUUGAGGUUGCAGUGAGCCAAGAUUGUGCCACUGCACCCCAGCCUGGGUAACAGAGUGAGACUCUAUCUCAA